RNAcentral lists this small RNA (28 nucleotides) under Bombyx mori (domestic silkworm). Its description in RNAcentral is "ovarian small RNA-17311". Lineage: Eukaryota; Metazoa; Arthropoda; Insecta; Lepidoptera; Bombycidae. The record is from RNAcentral.
GGAGCAGACACGGGUGGCCAGACUCUAA